GCCCCGAUAGCUUCAAUUGGUAGAGCGACUGCUUCGUAAGCAGUUGGUUGCCGGUUCGAGCCCGGCUCGGGGCU
RNAcentral lists this transfer RNA (74 nucleotides) under Candidatus Pacearchaeota archaeon. RNAcentral describes it as "tRNA-Thr". It matches the Rfam family "tRNA". From Rfam's summary of the family: Transfer RNA (tRNA) molecules are approximately 80 nucleotides in length. Their secondary structure includes four short double-helical elements and three loops (D, anti-codon, and T loops). The record is from RNAcentral. Lineage: Archaea; Nanobdellati.